This 765-nucleotide ribosomal RNA is filed under the name uncultured Streptococcus sp. Its description in RNAcentral is "bacterial SSU rRNA". It matches the Rfam family "Bacterial small subunit ribosomal RNA", at positions 28 to 776 of the family's 1533-position model. Lineage: Bacteria; Bacillati; Bacillota; Bacilli; Lactobacillales; Streptococcaceae. The record is from RNAcentral.
GAUGAACGCUGGCGGCGUGCCUAAUACAUGCAAGUAGAACGCUGAAGCUUGGUGCUUGCACCGAGCGGAUGAGUUGCGAACGGGUGAGUAACGCGUAGGUAACCUGCCUGGUAGCGGGGGAUAACUAUUGGAAACGAUAGCUAAUACCGCAUAACAGUAGAUAUUGCAUGAUAUCUGCUUGAAAGGUGCAAUUGCAUCACUACCAGAUGGACCUGCGUUGUAUUAGCUAGUUGGUGAGGUAACGGCUCACCAAGGCGACGAUACAUAGCCGACCUGAGAGGGUGAUCGGCCACACUGGGACUGAGACACGGCCCAGACUCCUACGGGAGGCAGCAGUAGGGAAUCUUCGGCAAUGGGCGGAAGUCUGACCGAGCAACGCCGCGUGAGUGAAGAAGGUUUUCGGAUCGUAAAGCUCUGUUGUAAGAGAAGAACGAGUGUGAGAGUGGAAAGUUCACACUGUGACGGUAUCUUACCAGAAAGGGACGGCUAACUACGUGCCAGCAGCCGCGGUAAUACGUAGGUCCCGAGCGUUAUCCGGAUUUAUUGGGCGUAAAGCGAGCGCAGGCGGUUAGAUAAGUCUGAAGUUAAAGGCUGUGGCUUAACCAUAGUACGCUUUGGAAACUGUUUAACUUGAGUGCAAGAGGGGAGAGUGGAAUUCCAUGUGUAGCGGUGAAAUGCGUAGAUAUAUGGAGGAACACCGGUGGCGAAAGCGGCUCUCUGGCUUGUAACUGACGCUGAGGCUCGAAAGCGUGGGGAGCAAACAGG